GAACUUAGCUUAGUGGCGGACGGGUGAGUAACGCGUGAGUAACCUGCCUUUCAGAGGGGGAUAACGUUCCGAAAAGAACGCUAAUACCGCAUAAUAUAUUGGUGUCGCAUGGCACCGGUAUCAAAGGAGCAAUCCGCUGAAAGAUGGACCCGCGUCCGAUUAGCCAGUUGGCGGGGUAAAGGCCCACCAAAGCGACGAUCGGUAGCCGGGUUGAGAGACUGAACGGCCACAUUGGGACUGAGACACGGCCCAGACUCCUACGGGAGGCAGCAGUGGGGGAUAUUGCACAAUGGAGGAAACUCUGAUGCAGCAAUGCCGCGUGAGGGAAGACGGUCUUCGGAUUGUAAACCUCUGUCCUUGGUGAAGAUAAUGACGGUAGCCAAGGAGGAAGCUCCGGCUAACUACGUGCCAGCAGCCGCGGUAAUACGUAGGGAGCAAGCGUUGUCCGGAUUUACUGGGUGUAAAGGGUGCGUAGGCGGCUCUUUAAGUCGGGCGUGAAAGCUGUGGGCUUAACCCACAAAUUGCGUUCGAAACUGGAGGGCUUGAGUGAAGUAGAGGUAGGCGGAAUUCCCGGUGUAGCGGUGAAAUGCGUAGAGAUCGGGANGAACACCAGUGGCGAAAGGCGGCCUACUGGGCUUUAACUGACGCUGAGGCACGAAAGCAUGGGUAGCAAACAGGANUAGAUACCCNGGUAGUCCAUGCCGUAAACGAUGAUUACUAGGUGUGGGGGG
This 731-nucleotide ribosomal RNA is filed under the name uncultured bacterium. RNAcentral's name for it is "bacterial SSU rRNA". It matches the Rfam family "Bacterial small subunit ribosomal RNA", at positions 83 to 829 of the family's 1533-position model. The record is from RNAcentral.